CCUACGGGAGGCAGCAGUGGGGAAUAUUGCACAAUGGGGGAAACCCUGAUGCAGCGACGCCGCGUGAGUGAAGAAGUAUUUCGGUACGUAAAGCUCUAUCAGCAGGGAAGAAAAUGACGGUACCUGACUAAGAAGCCCCGACUAACUACGUGCCAGCAGCCGCGGUAAUACGUAGGGGGCAAGCGUUAUCCGGAUUUACUGGGUGUAAAGGGAGCGUAGACGGCAGCGCAAGUCUGGAGUGAAAUCCCAUGGCUUAACCAGGGAACUGCUUUGGAAACUGUGCAGCUAGAGUGCAGGAGAGGUAAGCGGAAUUCCUAGUGUAGCGGUGAAAUGCGUAGAUAUUAGGAGGAACACCAGUGGCGAAGGCGGCUUACUGGACUGUAACUGACGUUGAGGCUCGAAAGCGUGGGGAGCAAACAGGAUUAGAUACCCGUGUAGUC
This 440-nucleotide ribosomal RNA is filed under the name uncultured bacterium. Its description in RNAcentral is "partial 16S ribosomal RNA". It matches the Rfam family "Bacterial small subunit ribosomal RNA", at positions 338 to 795 of the family's 1533-position model. The record is from RNAcentral.